GAGAGAUGAACCCUCGCCCAAGCUGUCUAAUUUCUGAUUUUUGUGUUCCUUAUACAAGCAAAAUCUCAAAGAAGUUCAAUAUACCAAAGAUUGUCUUCCAUGGCAUGUCUAGCUUUUGUCUUCUAUGUAUGCAUAUUUUGCGCAAGAACCUUGAGAUAUUGGAGAAUUUAAAGUCAGACGAAGAGUACUUCACCGUUCCUUAUUUUCCUGAUAAAGUUGAGUUCAGAAGACCUCAGGUUCCUGUAGAAACAUAUGUUCCUACAGGAGAGUUGAAGAAGUUGGCAGAGGAUAUAAUAGAAGCUGAUAAUACAUCAUAUGGUGUCAUAGUCAACACAUUUCAAGAGCUUGAGCCUGCUUAUGUCAAAGACUACAAGGAGGCUAGGUCCGGUAAAGCAUGGGCCAUUGGACCAGUUUCCUUGUGCAAUAAGGUGGGAGAAGACAAAGCUGAGAGGGGAAAAAAAUCAGACAUUGAUAAAGAUGAGUGUAUCAAAUGGCUUGAUUCUAAGGAACAUGGCUCGGUGCUCUACGUUUGCCUUGGAAGUAUAUGUAAUCUCCCUAUGGCUCAACUCAAGGAGCUUGGCCUAGGCCUAGAGGAGUCCAAAAGACCUUUUAUUUGGGUCAUAAGAGGUUGGGAGAAGUAUAAAGAGUUAGUUGAGUGGUUCUUGGAGAGCGGAUUUGAAGAAAGAAUUAAAGACAGAGGACUUCUCAUCAAAGGUUGGUCUCCACAAAUGAUCAUCCUCUCACAUGCUUCUGUUGGAGGGUUCUUAACGCACUGCGGAUGGAACUCAACUCUUGAAGGGAUACCCUCUGGUCUACCUCUGCUUACAUGGCCACUAUUUGCAGAUCAAUUUUGCAAUGAGAAACUGGUUGUGAAAGUACUAAAAACCAGUGUGAAAGUUGGGGUUGAGCAGCCUAUGAAACGGGGGGAAGAGGAGAAGAUAGGAGUGUUGGUGGAUGAAGAAGGAGUGAAGAAGGCAGUGGAGGAAUUAAUGGGUGAGAGUGAUGAUGCAAAAGAGAGAAGAAGAAGAGCCAAAGAGCUUGAAGAAUUAGCUCACAAGUCUGUGGAAGAAGGAGGCUCUUCUCAUUCUAACAUCACUUUACUCUUAGAAGACAUUAUGCAACUAGCACAAUCCAACAAUUGAUUACGUCAUUGUUAAAGGAACGUAAACACUUAUCUUUAUUUUUCCUUUAUUUGAAAACCGGGACUUAAUAGUCAACACGUCCAGCAUCAGACAAGUCGUGAUGACUUCCACUUUCUGAAUAUUGUAUAAUUUCUUUAUUAUGUUUUAAAGGCAACUUUAACGGUUUGGUCCUCAAAAAGAGGUUCUGAAUAAUAAAAUAUUGUUAGUUUAAUUGAUGUUGAUUAACAAAUUGUAAAUGAAAAGUAAAUUACAUGUUGGGACUAUUAUAGUUAGGUCUGAGAAGGAUCGUGUAUCCGAGCAAUUUUAAGGUAUCCGAAUCCGGAUCCUUAUCCGGCGGAUCUAUAAUUUUACUAUCUUUAUCUGGAUCCGGGGUUCUCGGAUAUCCGGAUGUCGGAUAUCCUUCUAAAAAUUGUAAUAUCUGGCGGAUAUCCGGAUCCGGAUUUGGAUUCUUAAAAUAAAUAAAAAAUAAUAUUAAUAUAUAUAAAAUAUGAACAAUAAUUUAAAAAUAAAAAUAUAUAAUGUUUUUAAUUAUUUCUAUGUAUAAUAUUAUAAAAUUUACAUAAAUUUAUAUAUACUAUUAUAAAAAUGAAAAUAUAUUAAAUAAAAUUAAUUUUUAUAUAUAGAUAUUACUAUUUUUGGAAUAUUUAUUAAUAAAACUUACGGAUCCGGAUAUCCGGACUAAAAAAUUAAGAUAUCCGGAUCCGGAUCCGGCUUUGACGGAUCCAACAUUUUACUAUCCGGAUCCGGAUUCGGUCCCUCCGGAUUUCCGGAUUUUCGGAUCGUAUCCGGAUCGAAUCUCGGAUCGAAUCCGGAUCUCGGAUAAAAGUUCCAGGCCCAAUUAUAGUCUUAUGCCUUGAUAAGUGGAAGGAAAAGCUCAGGUAAGUUUCUCAAGUCCUAAUAUGAGAAUUUUUUCUUGUUCUCUUUCCAAUUUUAAUGUUCUUUAAUUCCUAAAUUUUUAGUAAGAUUUAUGCCUUGUGUGUGCUAAGAUAGUGGAAAUUUGAGUUUUACCCUUUUGAUAUAGUUAACUUAACCACGUAUGUGGCAGUCCAGUUGGUUUAAGCGUAGACGUUGGUAUUGUUGUGCUCCUGAAUUCGAUCUAGGAGAGAUGUUUUACGCCAAAAUGAUAUCAGCGUCGGCCGGAUCCCGAACCUCAGGAUUAAGGUUCUUGGUCCAGAACCUCCAGAUAAUAAUAAAAAAAACAGUUAACUUUUUUUUUCUGUUCAUUGUUUCUAUAUUGCUCACUUUCCAAUAACCUUUCUAAUAUUUAUUUGACUAUAUGUGUUCUUUAUAAAAGUUAUCAUCUCAUCAUCUAUAGACAUUUUUCAUGUAUAUACUUAUAUUUUAAAUGUUUAAAACGAACAUAACUUAUUCGAACUUAUCAUAAAAUAUCUUAAGAGAUACGUUAAAUAAUAUGUAUAUCAUCUUUUUCAAAAAUUAUAAAAAUAAUAAUAAUAAUAAUAAUAAUAAUAAUAAGUAUAUCAUACAAAUUACAUUUAUAGAGUGUACUGCAAGUUUUCUAAGAUUCUUAUUCAAUUUUCCAAUAUAGAGUUAUAUUCAAUAUAUUUUUAAGAAAAGUAUUUUUGUUUGUUGUAUUGAAGUUGUAUAAUACUAUAAUAAAAUCGUAGAAUAACAUGUUACUAGGUGAUUUUUUCGUGCUCAUGUUGUGUUACAAAUAUUUAUAAAAUAAUUAUAUUAUAAUGAUUGAUUGAUAUUUUAUUUUAAAAUUUCAAUCAUUUUUAAAUUAUAUGUAUAAUUUAUAUUGAUAAUAUUACAUUAUUUUAAUUAGAUAUAAUAUUUUGGAUAUGUAGUAUCUUUUUUUUUGACAUCGGAUAUGUAGUAUCUGUUCGGUAUGAUUUCACUUGGGUAUAUUGGAUUGCAUCAAUUUCUUUGAAUCACUUAUAAUAUUUUUAGCUCUCAAAAAAUGAUAUUUUUGAUUAAUUUUAUUAUUUUCAUUUAGUUUGUUUGUCUUAGAUGUAUAUAUAUAUAUAUUUAGAAAAAUUAACUAAACUGUUAGAUUCAAAAAUAGAUUUUUUUAGUAUCAAGAUUAUUUUUGUGAACUUUCUUUUUUUGUGAAACCAUAGUAUAUAUAAAUAUAUUUUCGUUUUUCAAUUCAUUUCAAAAUUUAUAAAUAUUUCCUUUUUAUUAUAUAUGUUAUUUAAAAUAAACAGUACAAGAAAACAUGCCUAUAACGAGGAAAAAUUACGAGGAAAUAUAUCCCUCGUAAAUUUACGAGAAAUUUAUUACGAUUUUACGAAAAAACUGAAUUUCGUCGUAAAGUCGUAGUAAAGUUACAAGGAAAAUGUUUCGUUGUAAUUUACAUGUAAAUUUACGUCGAUUUUAUGAGGAAAGAGAAAAUUUGUUGUAAAGUCCUUGUAACUUUACAAGGCUUUUACGACAAAACAUGUUACCAUUAAUUUUUGUGAAAACGUGUUUUAAGCAUGCUUUACCAAACUGAUACCCUCGGUUUAGAGAUUUUGGAAUAACUUGAUUAGCUGCUAUCAAAGUUACACCUCGUGAACGAAUAGUUGCUAGAGAAGAAUCACUUUUGCAAGAAGAAGUGUGUAUCACUGAAGUGAAAGUAUCUGAACAACAAACUGAUGACAUCCUUCUAAUUGAUGUGGAUAACCGUCAAUAUGAAGAUCUUUUCGACGAUAUGACGGAUGAAGAAAGUGAAGAAGAGUUCGAUGCAAGCGAUGAUAAUCAUUGUACUGAUAUUGUUGAAAACUCGAAUGAUUCAGAAUGAUGUAAUAUAUGUUUUAAAUAUUUUUUAAAAAAUAUAAAUCAGUUUAAGACUUAAUGCAAGUGUAUAUUGUUUGGUUAUAAUAAUUAUUUGUUGGCUUUUAAGGAUUUAAUUGGAGUUUAGGGUUUAAGAGAAAAUAGGAUAAAUGGGAAAAUGGGGGAAUGGGGUAAAAGGGAUAUGAUGUUAUAGGUAAGAGACUUUGGGGGUUAGGGAUUUGAUUUUCAGGGAUUCAGAUAUAGUCGUAGUAAAUUCGUCGUAAUGGAAAACACGGGCCUGGUAUGUUCCUUUUAAUACACGUGUCUUUGUAAAUUCGUUGUAAUCAUUUCCUUAAAAAUUCGUUGUAAAGAUUUCCUUGUAAAUUCAUUGUAAUGCUCCCUUGCAAAUUCGUUGUAAUUCUAAGAACGCGGGCCUGGUAGAUUCGUCGUAAACAUGUGUCCUUGUAAAUUCGUUGUAAUUCUUUCUUUGUAAAUUCGUUGUAAUGCUUUCCUUGUAAAUUCGUUGUAACUUUACAAAGAUUUUUUUGACGAAACAUGUUACCAUUAUUUUUGGUGAAAACGUGUUGAAGCUAUUUUACCAAACUGAUUUUGUUGUAAGCAUUCUCAAGCCAAACAAGUUAACUUCAUUUCACACCCUCGGUUUAGAGAUUACAGAAUAAUUUGAUUAUUUGCUAUCAAGUGGUUGUUUGAUUAUAGUACUUAUAACUUGCGUUUUAAGGAUUCAAUUGGAGUUUAGGGUUUAAGAAAAAAUAUGAUAAAGGGGAUGAUGUGGUAAAAGGGUAUGGUGUAAAUAGAUAAGUGAUUUUGGGGUUUAGGGAUUUGAUUUUCGGGGUUUCAGAUAUAGUCCUAGUAAAUUCGUCGUAAUAGAAAACACACGGGCCUGGUAGAUUCCUCGUAAUACAUGUGUCCUUGUAAAUUCGUUGUAAUGCUUUCCUUGUAAUUUCAUUGUAAAGUUUUUCUUGUAAAGUUGUCGUAAAAUUUUCUUUGUAAAUUCGUCGUAAAUAUUCCAUGUAAAUUCGUUGUAAUUCUAAAAACGCGGACCUGGUAGAUUCCUCGUAACACUAAAAAAGCGGGCCUGGUAGAUUCCUCGUAAAAUUACGACGACUUUACGAGAAAUGUUGUUUUCUUAUAUAAACUCGAAACAUGAAUGAGGAAUGCCUCCUUCAUUCAUCUCAAACCACUCCUCUCCUUCUCUCAAAGGUAUGUUGUUUUUAAUAUUAAUUUAGGUUUAGGUGGUUAGUUUAGGUGGUUAGUUUAGGUAAUUAGUUUAGGUGGUUAGUUUAUGUGGUAAUUUUAGGUAACAAAACUAUAUUCAAAUAUUAGGUUGAGGUAUUUAAACGACUGAUUAGAUAUUUUUUAAAAAAAUUAAAUAUAUUUUAUUUUCUUAUAAUUUUAUGUAAUUAAUUAUAUUAAUAUGUUUCUUUUUUCAAGGUGGUUCCUAAAAAGAUGGAACUGACGGUAUGAAUAAGCUUCAUCAAUGAAGCCACAAGGACGACUUCAUCCUACUCUUCGAGACGGAACCCGUAGAUGAAGUACGAGACUCUCCAGGAAGAAACACCUCCAACAACUACUUCGACGGCGUUCUCCCUUAGCUUUUUAUUUUUCAAUUUUUUUGUUUUCUAUUAUUAAUUUGAAUAUUAUUUUAUGACAUUUAUAUAUUUUUACUUAAAGACGAUUUUACAAGGAAACUAUACGAGUCUUUUACGAUGAAGCGUAACUACGAAACUACGACGAAAUACUCUCUUUCGCUUUUACAACGAAUUUAUUUUGUCGUAAAUGUUACAUGGAAGUUACGACGAAUCUUGCAUUACGACGGGCGUUUUACAACGAAAUGCUAUUCCUUGUUAAUUCGUUGUAACCAUUCUAUUACAACGAAUUAACAAGGAAUAUGACCCUUGUAAUAAAUAUGUUUUCUUAUAGUGAAAAUUAAAAUUUAUAAAUGUUUCUUUUUAUUAUAUAUGUUAUUUGAAUAGAAAGUAAACUAAAUUAGGUAUACUAUUUUAAUUCAUUAAGGGUGUCUUUGUAAACCAUGUUAGAAAUAACGUGAGCCCGACAUGUAAGAAACUGACUUCUUAAUUAAUAUUAUAGAUUUCAAUAUAAAAUCGACAAAUGGCAAUCCAUGUUACUCUUUAGAAAAUUAGACCAUGUUAAAUUGGGGCCGUUAAAUUAACUAUCUUUUUAAAGAAUAAAUUCAUCUCAGUGUUGAUUUUGUAGAUUUUUACUAGGUAGUCCAAGAAUUUAAGCUAUUUAAUUAAUUCUUCGUUGGUAUAACAUAUUAAUUUUUUUUGUUUUUAAUUAUAAAAUGAAAAUAUGCACAAACCCUGCUUUACAGAGGAGGAAAGAAGAACAAGAUUGCCUGGUUAGUCCAUAGCGAGUGGAGGUCUCAUAUCCUCGACUGGGCUCUUCUGAUUUUUGCUGCUUCUGAUAGAUAUAGCCGUCAUGAAAGAGUCUAGUUUGAUUUGGCGGCUUUGAAUUGAACUUUAAAAUUUCAAACACAACUUGAUUUUGGUAAUGUCUGAGAGAGUCCAGUUUGAUUUUGUCUUUGAACCGUAAGGUAUUGAAUAGACUUCGUGUUGCGGAUCAAGUAUCUCAUAUUAGUUCUCAAUAAACAUUCUCUUGUAGUAAGCUUUUCGGCAAAUAAAGGACACUAGAAGCUGAAGAAUGGUCAGAAACGGACAACAGAAAGUAGUGGUGACAAAAUGUCCUCUUGUAAAUAAUAUGUCUUUCAUGCACAACAGUGUUUACGUCAUCUACUACAUCAUUUUGUUGAAGCCUUUUUUUAUCCCCAUUCUUCUUAUAUAACCUCAAGAUCACACACCCACAAUCACUACAAGAAAACAGGAGGAUUCUGAUGGCCGAAAUCGUCGGAAAUUCGUCGCAAUAGACCGAUUCCGACGAACCUGUCCGUCGGUAUCGUUUUGUCGGAAAAAAAAAAUUCGUCGGAAUUUCGUCAGAUCUUCCGACGACUUUCUGACGAAUACCGAGAAACGUCAUUCUGACGAACUUCCGACGAUAUUACGAUGCGGACACACGAGACCAGAGUUCAUCGGAAAAACUAUGUACAGACGGAGAUCGUUCCUCAGACAAUUCCGACGUAUUGGAUUCCUCGGUGUAUUCCGACGAACCAAUAGUCGUCGGAAUAUACCGACGGACAGUGGUCGUCGGAAUACACCGAUGGAUAUUUGUCCGUCGAAAUAUUCCGACGAACCAAUAGUCGUCGGAAUAUACCGACGGACAGUGGUCGUCGGAAUACACCGAUGGAUAUUUGUCCGUCGAAAUAUUCCGACGAACCAAUAGUCGUCGGAAUAUACCGACGGACAGUGGUCGUCGGAAUACACCGACGGAUAUUUGUCCGGAGAGAUGUUUUACGCCAAAAUGAUAUCAGCGUCGGCCGGAUCCCGAACCCAAUCUGUGGACUAGAUAGGAAGUGUUUGGCAAGUAAAUCUAUUAACGUCAUCUCUUACGUCUUGAGUUCAGUUUUUUUUGUUUGCUCUCCGCGCCAGUUUAUUCUAUAUAAGCCCUUACAGAUAUAAUCCAAAAAUCAAACCAAAACUUGAGAGUUUCUUUUUACAGUUCAAUAAUCAGCAUGGGUUCUGAAAUAGCCAACAAAACUUAUCCACUUCACUUUGUUCUCUUCCCUUUCAUGGCUCAAGGCCAUAUGAUUCCCAUGGUUGAUAUUGCAAGGCUCUUGGCUCAGAGCGGUGUGACCAUAACAAUUGUCACCACGCCUCACAAUGCAGAGAGAUUCAAGAAUGUUCUAAACCGUGCCAUUGAGUCUGGUUUGCCCAUCAAACUAGUUCAGGUGAAGUUUCCAUCUCAAGAAGCUGGUCUGCCAGAAGGAAAAGAGAAUAUGGAUUUGCUUGACUCCAUGGAGCUGAUGUUACCUUUCUUCAAAGCUAUUAACAUGCUCGAAGAACCGGUCCAGAAACUCAUAGAAGAGAUGAACCCUCGCCCAAGCUGUCUAAUUUCUGAUUUUUGUGUUCCUUAUACAAGCAAAAUCUCAAAGAAGUUCAAUAUACCAAAGAUUGUCUUCCAUGGCAUGUCUAGCUUUUGUCUUCUAUGUAUGCAUAUUUUGCGCAAGAACCUUGAGAUAUUGGAGAAUUUAAAGUCAGACGAAGAGUACUUCACCGUUCCUUAUUUUCCUGAUAAAGUUGAGUUCAGAAGACCUCAGGUUCCUGUAGAAACAUAUGUUCCUACAGGAGAGUUGAAGAAGUUGGCAGAGGAUAUAAUAGAA
This 8112-nucleotide long non-coding RNA is filed under the name Brassica napus (rape). Its description in RNAcentral is "long non-coding RNA (BNAP_LNC025570)". The record is from RNAcentral. Lineage: Eukaryota; Viridiplantae; Streptophyta; Magnoliopsida; Brassicales; Brassicaceae.